GACGAACCGUGCGAACGUUGUUCGGAAUCACUGGGCUUAAAGGGCGCGUAGGCGGGCUGACAAGUCUGGGGUGAAAUCCCGCGGCUCAACCGUGGAACUGCCUUAGAUACUGUCGGCCUCGAGGAAGGUAGGGGCAUGCGGAACUGUAGGUGGAGCGGUGAAAUGUGUAGAUAUAUGGAAGAACACCAAUAACGGCGAAGGCAGUUAACUAUUCUGUUACUGACAUUGAGGCACGAAAGCGUGGGGAGCAAAACGG
RNAcentral lists this ribosomal RNA (256 nucleotides) under uncultured bacterium. RNAcentral describes it as "partial 16S ribosomal RNA". It matches the Rfam family "Bacterial small subunit ribosomal RNA", at positions 524 to 776 of the family's 1533-position model. The record is from RNAcentral.